GGAUUCCCGUCGAGAAAGAACUAGCCAUUCACUCGUAGCGAGUCUUGGAGGGCUUGUGGCAACAUAAGCUUUUAAGCGUAGACAGUGAGGUAAUGGGCGGAAAGCCAAGAGCGGUUGAAGGGAUAGAGCUCCGAAAUUUCGUGAAUAAACAGGAAGGUCGAUAAGCUCAGGAGCUUAGAAGACAACACUGGGGUUUUCAAUAAACGGCAAGAAAAUCUCAGCUUCCUCGGAGUCAAUGACCU
Molecule: non-coding RNA, 242 nt
Organism: Oceanobacillus oncorhynchi
Lineage: Bacteria; Bacillati; Bacillota; Bacilli; Caryophanales; Bacillaceae
Source: Rfam